CACUGUCACUCCUACGGGAGGCAGCAUGGGGGAAUAUUGCACAAUGGGCGCAAGCCUGAUGCAGCCAUGCCGCGUGUGUGAAGAAGGCCUUCGGGUUGUAAAGCACUUUCAGUCGUGAGGAAGGUGGUAGUGUUAAUAGCACUAUCAUUUGACGUUAGCGACAGAAGAAGCACCGGCUAACUCCGUGCCAGCAGCCGCGGUAAUACGGAGGGUGCGAGCGUUAAUCGGAAUUACUGGGACGUAAAGCGCAUGCAGGUGGUUUGUUAAGUCAGAUGUGAAAGCCCCGGGGCUCAACCUCGGAAUAGCAUUUGAAACUGGCAGACUAGAGUACUGUAGAGGGGGUAGAAUUUCAGGUGUAGCGGUGAAAUGCGUAGAGAUCUGAAGGAAUACCGGUGGCGAAGGCGGCCCCCUGGACAGAUACUGACACUCAGAUGCGAAAGCGUGGGGAGCAAACAGGAUUAGAUACCCUGGUAG
Molecule: ribosomal RNA, 474 nt
Filed under: uncultured bacterium
Lineage: Bacteria
Description: bacterial SSU rRNA
Rfam family: Bacterial small subunit ribosomal RNA
Source: RNAcentral